This is a long non-coding RNA of Leptidea sinapis, 877 nucleotides long. RefSeq lists it as uncharacterized. The record is from RefSeq and is a predicted model, not a curated record. Lineage: Eukaryota; Metazoa; Arthropoda; Insecta; Lepidoptera; Pieridae. The transcript is spliced from 2 exons.
UGUAACGUUGUAUUUACCAUUACAUACGUUAUUUUACAUAAAAUAAUGAAAUAAAAAUAAAACUAAUAAAUAAUAAAACGUAAACACUUUUGUGCGCGAGCGUAGGCGAUUUUUUUGCUGUUCAUAAAAAAUGCAUGGCUCGCUCGCGUCACCCGUCGCCCGGCUAUCGCCAUACCACGGCUGCGCUCGGUAAUAGCAACACGUCAAUAUAUUAUGUGCAGUGACUUAUCACGUUUGCCGUAAAAUACCUAGUUAUAUAAUUUUUUUAAUCACCGGUUGACAACUUAACAUAAUAUAAAAAUAAGUUUCAAGGAUUAUCGUCACCCCGAUAGGGUAAGUGUUGGACACGUGUUAAUAUUAUUUGAGUACUUGUAAAACUUUGAAGUAGUUAUUUAAAAUGUAGUAUUUUAGCAAACAUUUAAUUUUCUUUUCAAAAUUAAUUAUUCUUUCUUUGCUUUCGCUUCCUUUUCUUUUUUUUAUUAUUGUAACUCCGUUCUGAUUGUGAACAACUACACCUCCUGCUUACGGCUUCACCCUUAAUGAUAGACACGGACGCACGUGGUUCACAAUCAGCGGAGACAUAAGAAUGUGGUCUUAACUGUGGACAUCAUUCACAGGGUUCCAGGAUAAGAUUUUGGAACGUUAAAAGAUAUAAUUCCACCAAGUUCCGGUGAUUAGUUACCCGGACCCGAGUAUCGGGAAUCACCUGCGACACGUCGAGUCAUAACCUCCAGCUGAGGGGCCUGCACCGGCGUCUUCAACGUCAGGGGAGUACCGAGCUACAAGGACAAACUAGAUCAACCAACAAUACACCCUACGACCCUUGCUCAAAUUGUAUUUUAAUUAUUUUUAAAUAUACAUCAUUUAAAGGCCGGUA